CAGGCCUGCACAGGGGACUUCUGCACAGGCCUGACUCCCAGGCCUGACAUUUUCUGGUCUGUCUUCGCCAUGGUCUGCUAUCAACUGCAGUUUUGAAUUCUGGUUUCUCUUAUUCUUUGUCUCUAGGCAAGUCAACAGGUUCAGCAGCCAGAGUCCUAUCCUGUACUUCUCUUCACGUUGCAGACAUCCACGAAAGAGUGAGACUGUUUUCGGUUGGAUUGAAGAGCAAAUGUGUGGAAGGCACCAAGGUUUGUGUGUAAAUGUGGUGAGUGGGGCCAAGGAGAACUUCUGCACUUCU
This 298-nucleotide long non-coding RNA is filed under the name Homo sapiens (human). Its description in RNAcentral is "HSALNT0272099". The record is from RNAcentral. Lineage: Eukaryota; Metazoa; Chordata; Mammalia; Primates; Hominidae.